Molecule: ribosomal RNA, 588 nt
Filed under: uncultured fungus
Lineage: Eukaryota; Fungi
Description: eukaryotic LSU rRNA
Rfam family: 5.8S ribosomal RNA (bases 187-340)
Source: RNAcentral
AGGAUCAUUACCGAGUGAGGGCCCUCUGGGUCCAACCUCCAUGCUCGUAGUAGUCUGGGUUGUUGCUUCGGCGGGCCCGCCUCACGGCCGCCGGGGGGAUGCCGCUGUAGAUGUCGCUGCCGCCGAAGACACCAAUGAACUCUUGUCUAUGCUCGCUGAUAGUCGCAGAUUAGCUAAAUCAGUUAAAACUUUCAACAACGGAUCUCUUGGUUCCGGCAUCGAUGAAGAACGCAGCGAAAUGCUCGUAGAUGUCGCUCGUAGGAUGUUCAGUGAAUCAUCGAGUCUUUGAACGCACAUUGCGCCCCCUGGUAUUCCGGGGGGCAUGCCUGUCCGAGCGUCAUUGCUGCCCUCAUGCUCGCUGGGUACCUGACUGGGGGUGUGCCGGCUCCCGGGGGGCGGGCCCGAAAGGCAGCGGCGGCACCGCGUCCGGUCCUCGAGCGUAUGGGGCUUCGAUGCUCGUCGUAAGUCGCUCGUAGAGGCCCGCCGGCGACCCCAAUCAAUCUUUCCAGGUUGAAUGGCUCGUGAUGUGGGAUACCCGCUGAACUUAAUAGUCGCUGAUGUAGGCUCGCUGAUAGUCGCUGCUGAUAG